UGCAAGUCGAACGGUAGCACAGAGAGCUUGCUCUCGGGUGACGAGUGGCGGACGGGUGAGUAAUGUCUGGGAAACUGCCUGAUGGAGGGGGAUAACUACUGGAAACGGUAGCUAAUACCGCAUAAUGUCUCAAGACCAAAGAGGGGGACCUUCGGGCCUCUUGCCAUCAGAUGUGCCCAGAUGGGAUUAGCUAGUACGUGGGGUAACGGCUCACCUAGGCGACGAUCCCUAGCUGGUCUGAGAGGAUGACCAGCCACACUGGAACUGAGACACGGUCCAGACUCCUACGGGAGGCAGCAGUGGGGAAUAUUGCACAAUGGGCGCAAGCCUGAUGCAGCCAUGCCGCGUGUAUGAAGAAGGCCUUCGGGUUGUAAAGUACUUUCAGCGGGGAGGAAGGUGUUGUGGUUAAUAACCGCAGCAAUUGACGUUACCCGCAGAAGAAG
Molecule: ribosomal RNA, 443 nt
Filed under: Enterobacter cloacae
Lineage: Bacteria; Pseudomonadati; Pseudomonadota; Gammaproteobacteria; Enterobacterales; Enterobacteriaceae
Description: bacterial SSU rRNA
Rfam family: Bacterial small subunit ribosomal RNA
Source: RNAcentral